CAGCCGCCGCGGUAAUACGGAGGGUGCGAGCGUUAAUCGGAAUUACUGGGCGUAAAGGGUGCGUAGGUGGUUUGAUAAGUUAUCUGUGAAAUCCCUGGGCUUAACCUGGGCAGGUCAGAUAAGACUGUUGGACUCGAGUAUAGGAGAGGGUAGUGGAAUUUCCGGUGUAGCGGUGAAAUGCGUAGAGAUCGGAAGGAACACCAGUGGCGAAGGCGGCUACCUGGCCUGAUACUGACACUGAGGCACGAAAGCGUGGGGAGCAAACAGGAUUAGAUACCCCUGUAGUCCCUGUCUCUUAUAC
This 301-nucleotide ribosomal RNA is filed under the name uncultured bacterium. RNAcentral's name for it is "partial 16S ribosomal RNA". It matches the Rfam family "Bacterial small subunit ribosomal RNA", at positions 509 to 807 of the family's 1533-position model. The record is from RNAcentral.